Molecule: ribosomal RNA, 301 nt
Filed under: uncultured bacterium
Lineage: Bacteria
Description: partial 16S ribosomal RNA
Rfam family: Bacterial small subunit ribosomal RNA
Source: RNAcentral
CAGUAGCCGCGGGAAUACGAAGGGGGCUAGCGUUGUUCGGAUUUACUGGGCGUAAAGGGCGCGUAGGCGGACUGAUAAGUCAGGGGUGAAAUCCCAAGGCUCAACCUUGGAACUGCCUUUGAUACUGGGGUCCUUGAGUCCGGAAGAGGUGAGUGGAACUGCGAGUGUAGAGGUGAAAUUCGUAGAUAUUCGCAAGAACACCGGUGGCGAAGGCGGCUCACUGGUCCGGAACUGACGCUGAGGCACGACAGCGUGGGGAGCAAACAGGAUUAGAUACCCGGGUAGUCCCUGUCUCUUAUAA